This 272-nucleotide long non-coding RNA is filed under the name Elaeis guineensis (African oil palm). RNAcentral describes it as "long non-coding RNA (EGUI_LNC023794)". The record is from RNAcentral. Lineage: Eukaryota; Viridiplantae; Streptophyta; Magnoliopsida; Arecales; Arecaceae.
CAAAGGAUCACUUACACAACUCCCAUUAGAGAACUAUCAACUGACAUAUAAAUAAGACUCCAUCAGAUAUUUUCUCGUAGGUCUAUUCAAUGAACUCAUUUUCUAAUGAGCAUCCAUACCCUUGUAUUAGUGUCACCACACAAGUGGUUGUAAGAUUAACCAUCCUUAUCACUGAGCAUACAUAAGACAUACCAGUCUUACCGAUUUCAUUGAUCUCUGACUCAAUGAAUCAAUGACUGAAAAUAUUUUAGGUCAUGGCUAUCAAGGAUUUA